CUGGAACGCAAGGAGUUGCUUCCGGGUCUCAAGGGAAAAAAAUGGUGGCGCCCCAGUGUCACGCUUUGGUACACCGGGUGUUAGCGGAGUGCCCAGUGACCAAGGCCCGGGCAUGUGAGUUCCGCUUGCCCCAUGGCCCAGUGAAGACUCCCGUGUUCAUGCCCGUCGGGACACAGGGCACCAUGGGUGACGGCAGAUCAGCUGCGGAAUCUGGGCUGCGAGAUCUGCCUGGGGAACACCUAUCACCUCGGGAUGCGCCCGGGUCCGGAGAUCAUGAAAAAGGCGGGCGGCCUGCAUGGUUUUAUGAACUGGGGCA
Xenopus tropicalis (tropical clawed frog) is the source of this 316-nucleotide long non-coding RNA. RefSeq lists it as uncharacterized. Lineage: Eukaryota; Metazoa; Chordata; Amphibia; Anura; Pipidae. The record is from RefSeq and is a predicted model, not a curated record. The transcript is spliced from 2 exons.